This 640-nucleotide long non-coding RNA is filed under the name Mus musculus (house mouse). RNAcentral describes it as "predicted gene, 36033". Lineage: Eukaryota; Metazoa; Chordata; Mammalia; Rodentia; Muridae. The record is from RNAcentral.
GUGUAAGCCAUGAAGCUUUGGGUCAUCGGCACCGCCAGUUCCCUGUGCUUCUAGCUCUGCAUGAAACCAAGGGCCAUAAAGGUUGGCAAAUUGAACACAAUACUUGGCUGUACCUUCAGCCCUAGACCCGGCUUCAGACUCCGGCUCCGCGAUUCAUCAGCCUUGUGACCUUGCACAAAUCAUUUGCCUUUAUGAAAUAAGUCUCACAUCUGACUGGUGGGCAGGAGAGUGAUGCUUAGGCAAAGCGAUCCUUGAGCUCUGCGAUCCUUGCGCUUAGUGAGGCAGUACUGCCUGUUGUAGGCUGGAACUCAGGCAUGCUUGAUGUGGAAUGGCUGCCCAGUGACCGCGCACACCUUCCUUCCCAGCACUUGGGACACCCAGGCAGGUGGAUCUCUGUAAUUUCAAGGUCAGCCCCCUUCUACUGAGCCAAUUCCAUGACAGCCUGGGCUACAGGGAGAAACACUGUCUCCAAACACACAGACAAGCAACAACAAUGCAAACAAUCAAACAAAUAAAAUUUAAAAAAUUAAAAUUAGAAGAAAAAAAGAAUGCACUGUGGGGUUCCCCGAAGGAUCCCAGUUUCUGUGUCUCCCUGACUAGAAGUCAUGGGCGGAGUCACCUUUCCUUACUCUGUGGUGAU